GUACACAAAAAUGCACAUACUGUGAGCUCGAUGAGUAGGGCGGGACACGUGGUAUCCUGUCUGAAUAUGGGGGGACCAUCCUCCAAGGCUAAAUACUCCUGACUGACCGAUAGUGAACCAGUACCGUGAGGGAAAGGCGAAAAGAACCCCGGCGAGGGGAGUGAAAAAGAACCUGAAACCGUGUACGUACAAGCAGUGGGAGCCUCUUAAUGGGGUGACUGCGUACCUUUUGUAUAAUGGGUCAGCGACUUAUAUUCUGUAGCAAGGUUAACCGAAUAGGGGAGCCGAAGGGAAACCGAGUCUUAACUGGGCGUUAAGUUGCAGGGUAUAGACCCGAAACCCGGUGAUCUAGCCAUGGGCAGGUUGAAGGUUGGGUAACACUAACUGGAGGACCGAACCGACUAAUGUUGAAAAAUUAGCGGAUGACUUGUGGCUGGGGGUGAAAGGCCAAUCAAACCGGGAGAUAGCUGGUUCUCCCCGAAAGCUAUUUAGGUAGCGCCUCGUGAAUUCAUCUCCGGGGGUAGAGCACUGUUUCGGCAAGGGGGUCAUCCCGACUUACCAACCCGAUGCAAACUGCGAAUACCGGAGAAUGUUAUCACGGGAGACACACGGCGGGUGCUAACGUCCGUCGUGAAGAGGGAAACAACCCAGACCGCCAGCUAAGGUCCCAAAGUCAUGGUUAAGUGGGAAACGAUGUGGGAAGGCCCAGACAGCCAGGAUGUUGGCUUAGAAGCAGCCAUCAUUUAAAGAAAGCGUAAUAGCUCACUGGUCGAGUCGGCCUGCGCGGAAGAUGUAACGGGGCUAAACCAUGCACCGAAGCUGCGGCAGCGACACUAUGUGUUGUUGGGUAGGGGAGCGUUCUGUAAGCCUGUGAAGGU
RNAcentral lists this ribosomal RNA (878 nucleotides) under Escherichia coli. RNAcentral describes it as "partial 23S ribosomal RNA". It matches the Rfam family "Bacterial large subunit ribosomal RNA", at positions 375 to 1257 of the family's 2925-position model. The record is from RNAcentral. Lineage: Bacteria; Pseudomonadati; Pseudomonadota; Gammaproteobacteria; Enterobacterales; Enterobacteriaceae.